RNAcentral lists this ribosomal RNA (381 nucleotides) under uncultured bacterium. RNAcentral describes it as "bacterial SSU rRNA". It matches the Rfam family "Bacterial small subunit ribosomal RNA", at positions 335 to 702 of the family's 1533-position model. The record is from RNAcentral.
ACUCCUACGGGAGGCAGCAGUGGGGAAUAUUGCACAAUGGUAGGGCAAACCCUGAUGCAGCCAUGCCGCGUGUGUGAAGAAGGCCUUCGGGUUGAUAAAGCACUUUCAGUAGGGAGGAAGGUAGUGUAGUUAACACCUGCACUAUUUUGACGUUUACCUACAGAAGAAGCACCGGCUAACUCCGUGCCAGCAGCCGCGGUAAUACGGAGGGUGCGAGCGUUAAUCGGAAUUACUGGGCGUAAAGCGCAUGCAGGCGGCCUGUUAAGUCAGAUGUGAAAGCCCGGGGCUUAACCUCGGAAUUGCAUUUGAAACUGGCAGGCUAGAGUCUUGUAGAGGGGGGUAGAAUUUCAGGUGUAGCGGUGAAAUGCGUAGAGAUCUGAA